This 64-nucleotide transfer RNA is filed under the name Rhinophis philippinus. RNAcentral's name for it is "tRNA-Asp". The record is from RNAcentral. Lineage: Eukaryota; Metazoa; Chordata; Lepidosauria; Squamata; Uropeltidae.
AAGAACCUAGUAAAUAUAUUACAUGCCUUUGUCAUAGCCAAAUAACAGAACUCUGUGGUUCUUA